This 253-nucleotide ribosomal RNA is filed under the name uncultured bacterium. RNAcentral describes it as "partial 16S ribosomal RNA". It matches the Rfam family "Bacterial small subunit ribosomal RNA", at positions 524 to 776 of the family's 1533-position model. The record is from RNAcentral.
UACGUAGGGUGCGAGCGUUAAUCGGAAUUACUGGGCGUAAAGCGCACGUAGGCGGCUUUUUAAGUCAGGGGUGAAAUCCCGGGGCUCAACCCCGGAACUGCCCUUGAAACUGGAGAGCUAGAAUCUUGGAGAGGCGAGUGGAAUUCCGAGUGUAGAGGUGAAAUUCGUAGAUAUUCGGAAGAACACCAGUGGCGAAGGCGACUCGCUGGACAAGUAUUGACGCUGAGGUGCGAAAGCGUGGGGAGCAAACAGG